Molecule: long non-coding RNA, 802 nt
Filed under: Phoenix dactylifera (date palm)
Lineage: Eukaryota; Viridiplantae; Streptophyta; Magnoliopsida; Arecales; Arecaceae
Description: long non-coding RNA (PDAC_LNC016082)
Source: RNAcentral
UAGGAAUAAAGUCGUCAUUGGGUCCUCACCUAACAGUUAUUGGUGCCCAACCCCACCUUUACCCUACAACAUCUCAUGUCUAUAGAGAGGUCCAGUCCUCCAAUGCAACUUGCCUACUGUGUCCAGCCGAGAUAAAUCAACAUCAGAAAGACCUUAGCAGCUCUACUACAGUGGAAGACCUAUUGACUUAAUAUUGGUUAAUCAGGUCUUAAUGUUUGCAACUUGAGCUCUUCAUAAGAGGUAAUCGAACAAUUGGCCAGGUAAGCAGGUGGAAGGCUCCCCUUACUCAGAGAGUAAGGUCCUAAUUAAGUAACCACCUUUCAUGCUUUCUUAGACACCAAUUAGAUCAAUUAAUCUAAUAUGACUCGCUCAUGUUGGUUCACUCUCGACUUGAUUGAGGAGGUUUUAAUUUAGGUCUCAAUUGGGUUUGCUACAUCACAUGUAAACCUAUCUACCCGACUCUCAUUCACAUCACAUGCAAACGGCACAUUGCAGGCAGUUAUAAUCGCAGCAAUAAUUAAAGCUAAACUCUAAAUAGGUGAUGAUCAUGGAUUCCAGUUAGGUCGUAUUACAAGCACAUGCACGUCAAUCGAUCAAGUGGUCUUCAACUCUUGAAUUUGUUCCAAGCCUUCUUGAUUAGAUCCUUGACCAACUCUUGAUCCAAUCGCCAUCAACCACUUAGACCCCUGCUCAUCUCAUGCAUCAUCUUCGACUUGAUCGUUGACGUACAUCACAUCACAGAAAUACAACCAGAUAUAAAAUAAAAAUAAAAAUAAAUUACAUCUCCCUUUUAGGAGGCACG